GGAUUAAAACCCAGGUCUCCUGACUCCCAAUGUUCUUUCUAUUUCAUUACAGUACCCUUCUGUCAGGAGACAGUUUUAGAGUGGGCAUCAAGAAACUUGGAUUUAAGCCCUGUCUCUACAAGCAAUUACCUGUGCGAUCGUGCACAGAUUAAUUCACCUCCCUGGGCCUCAGUUUCCCCAUCUAUAAAAUGACAGGAUUGGACUAGAAGAUCCCUAAGGUCCUUUUCUGCUAACAUUCUAUAUUCUGUCAGUCUGCACAUUUCUGGAGCUUGAAGGAAAGGCAAAGAAGAGUGCCAAGCAUGCAGCAAUGGUGCUCAAAGCAUUUACCUGUCCCAGGCUGUCCAACUUCCAGAGACACAAACAAAAGUUCUUGUGCUAAGGGUUGCAGGUCACUCACUGACUCAGAGAUGCAGGGGCCAGUCACAACAUCUUCUUCCUAUUCAAGCUUGAUAAAACGGCCUUCUCCAACCUUCUCCACAAACCCCUCAAGUGACUGUGGCAGUAAGUGAGAGGAAUCGGGGAAUUUCAACCCAGGUCUUCAAAUAUUCUCUGGACUCCAGGAAACAGGACCCCAGUGCCAAGUAGAAAAAAUAAUUGAGCACUGCAUUUAUUUCAUGAACAUAUUACCUGCUUAUCUUAAAUGUGGUCAUUCGUAAAACAACCCCCUGGACCUCAUAGCUCCAGGGCCCCAGGACAUAAUCUUCCAUUGACAUUUCACAGAAUUUUCACUGUUGCUCAGGAGUUUCAGUCUUUGUGACUCCAUCUGGGAUUUUCUUGGCAAAGAUCCUGGAGUGGUUUAGCCAUUUCCUUCUCCAGCUCAUUUUGCAGACAAGGAACUGAGGUCAAUAUGGUUAAGUGACUUGCCCAGGGUCACACAGCUAAUACGUAACGUAUCUGAGGGCAGAUUUGAACUUAGGAAGAUGAAUCUUCCUGACUUCAGGCUUGGUGCCACCUAGCUGUCUUUUCACUGCUUACCCAGUAUGAAUUGUGCUUUACCCCCCCCAUCCACCCACCCACCCAAAGUGAGACCUUGUUGAAUUUCAGACUGUUCCAAAAGAGAAUGGAACUACUUACCUACCUCACAGAAUGAUGUAAUGAGAGCAAGAACAAUAAACUAAGAGUUAGGAAACCUAAAUUCUGAUCU
This 1144-nucleotide long non-coding RNA is filed under the name Phascolarctos cinereus (koala). RNAcentral's name for it is "lncRNA (ENSPCIG00000026307.2)". The record is from RNAcentral. Lineage: Eukaryota; Metazoa; Chordata; Mammalia; Diprotodontia; Phascolarctidae.